Triticum aestivum (bread wheat) is the source of this 719-nucleotide long non-coding RNA. RefSeq lists it as uncharacterized. NCBI's taxonomy places the organism in Eukaryota, Viridiplantae, Streptophyta, Magnoliopsida, Poales, Poaceae. The transcript is spliced from 4 exons. The record is from RefSeq and is a predicted model, not a curated record.
UCGCCACUGGUUACCAGCGCGGCUCCCACCUCUCCUGUUAGCUUCCUCAACAUCGUGGCCUUGUGCUGCCACGCGACCCCCUUCCAAGUUCUUUUGCCGCCUCCGGAUGACGUUGUGGUCGUGGAUUCCUACAAAGGAAAGAUGUGCCUGGUUUCCACCAUCGUGAGGCAUCGCAGCCCCAUCCCAAGGUCCCUGCACCGAAGGAGAGAUCAUGUAGAAGCCAUGCCACAGCUGGUUUGAUGUGCAGGAACAAGGUUGAUGCGUCUACUUGCCGCCGGCCGGACGUGUUGUGCACCCAUCGUCUGAUACACAUACCGGCCCAUGAUAGCAUAGUGGACUGUAACUCUCCAGGAGGAUUUACAUGUCAGAUCCUCAGAGUUUGUUUAUGCUAGAAGCUUUCACUUUGCUGGAGUUGAUGACAUCAAGAGAAAUUGGGAAUCUGUUGGUAUGAUUGGGUAGUGGGCUACAUAGUGCUACCCACCAUAAUCCUCGCCAUGACAUGAUAGUUGCCAUCAGGAGAGUCGACGAAGAACCUGAACAGCAGCCUCAAAAGUUUGUAUGUUUUGUUGAUGUAAACUGGAUUGUAGUGCUUCUUAACCUUCUUCAGUAAUAUAUUUAGUGAAUCUAUGUUGUAAGUUAUCAUUAGAUGAAGGAUUUGUAAACUACUAUGUUGUAUAUACAAACAGAUUUUUUCGAGAAAACAUAUAAAUAUAGAUGGC